Molecule: transfer RNA, 68 nt
Filed under: Canis lupus familiaris (dog)
Lineage: Eukaryota; Metazoa; Chordata; Mammalia; Carnivora; Canidae
Also listed under: 1 other name
Rfam family: tRNA
About the family: Transfer RNA (tRNA) molecules are approximately 80 nucleotides in length.
Source: Rfam by way of RNAcentral
GGCUGGCUCACUCAGUGGAGCAUGAGACUCUUGAUUUCAGAGUGUGAGUUCAAAUUCCACGUUGGCCA